GUGCUGGAGUCAGCUUCACACAGUCACAGCACAGACAUGAGGGCCACCACACAGCUCCUGGUGUUGCAGCUGCUCUGCCUUAUAGGUGUCAGAUGUGACAUCCAGAUGACACAGUCUCCAUCCUCCCUGUCUGCGUCUCUGGGAGAAAGUGUCACCAUCACAUGCCGAGCAAGUGAGGACAUUUACAGUGGUUUAGCAUGGUAUCAGCAGAAUCCAGGGAAUUCUCCUAAGCUCCUGAUCUAUGGUGCAAACAGCUUGGAAGAUGGGGUCCCAUCAAGGUUCAGUGGCAGUGGAUCUGGAACACAGUAUUCUCUCAAGAUCAGCAGCCUACAGCCUGAAGAUGUAGCAAUUUAUUACUGUCAACAGUAUAGUGAUUAUCCUCCCACAGUGAUACAAGUCAUAACAUAAACCCCCAGGAAAACA
Non-coding RNA from Peromyscus leucopus (white-footed mouse), 423 nucleotides. NCBI's taxonomy places the organism in Eukaryota, Metazoa, Chordata, Mammalia, Rodentia, Cricetidae. The record is from the annotation of a RefSeq genome assembly.